CACGUUGUCAGCCAAGAAUGAAGCCGGCAUCGUGUCGUGCACUGCCAGGCUGGAUAUAUACGCUCAGUGGCACCAUCAGAUCCCACCGCCCAUGUCUGUCCGGCCCAGUGGCAGUCGCUACGGAUCUCUCACCAGUAAAGGACUUGACAUAUUUUCUGCCUUUUCCUCCAUGGAAAGCACGAUGGUGUAUUCAUGCUCUUCUCGGAGUGUAGUGGAGAGUGAUGAACUUUAAGAAUGUCUAGGUACCUGCUGUGUAAGAGAGCGGACUGUGGAGGGGGAAUGAGAACAAGCCAGACUUGGUGGUUUCCAAGCAACCGAAGUUGAGUAAGUUCCCACACUGCUGGACCUGUGGCAAAGAGUGCUUUGAAUAAGUCAGCUAGGGAUUCUUGCAGUCUCAGCUGAGGGAGAAAGGUAGGGCUGUGCCUUCUAAAGAUUCCAACAGAGAUGUGAGAAGAUAAUACAGAUGAACCAAAGAUGUCACACAGUUGCCAUCCACUGCUUUGGGAAAAAACUAGCAUGCUCCCCUGCUCCCUGUUGUGUUAGGGAUGUUUAGGUCAUACUAGGAGCAAUUAGGAGCCAUAUGCCUGGGCUGAGAAGAGCUAGGCAGUAGUGACCUUAGGAUAUGACUAACUCACCAAACAAUGCCAAGGAGAAAGGCGGACAGGUCACCAUCACCUUUCAUCGAUUACAUGUAUAGCAGUAGUUUUGGUGAAUUCACCAAAUCAGCUUCCACUUAGCAUUAGGAGGUCAUGCCAUACAACUCACGUAUGCGGGCAAACACUUUUGAUUUGCAUAUCCUGGGUGUACUGAGCCACAUAAUAAGGUGUCAAAAUGUGCUUGAGAUUCC
Molecule: long non-coding RNA, 847 nt
Filed under: Homo sapiens (human)
Lineage: Eukaryota; Metazoa; Chordata; Mammalia; Primates; Hominidae
Description: HSALNT0163826
Source: RNAcentral